UUAAUUGAAGAGUUUGAUCAUGGCUCAGAUUGAACGCUGGCGGCAGGCCUAACACAUGCAAGUCGAACGGUAGCACAGGGAGCUUGCUCUCGGGUGACGAGUGGCGGACGGGUGAGUAAUGUCUGGGAA
RNAcentral lists this ribosomal RNA (129 nucleotides) under Candidatus Erwinia dacicola. RNAcentral's name for it is "partial 16S ribosomal RNA". It matches the Rfam family "Bacterial small subunit ribosomal RNA", at positions 1 to 123 of the family's 1533-position model. Lineage: Bacteria; Pseudomonadati; Pseudomonadota; Gammaproteobacteria; Enterobacterales; Erwiniaceae. The record is from RNAcentral.